CGUUUCUUUGCUGGCGACCGGCGCACGGGUGAGUAACACGUAUCCAACCUGCCCUUUACUCGGGGAUAGCCUUUCGAAAGAAAGAUUAAUACCCGAUAGCAUAAUGAUUCCGCAUGGUUUCAUUAUUAAAGGAUUCCGGUAAAGGAUGGGGAUGCGUUCCAUUAGGUUGUUGGUGAGGUAACGGCUCACCAAGCCUUCGAUGGAUAGGGGUUCUGAGAGGAAGGUCCCCCACAUUGGAACUGAGACACGGUCCAA
This 255-nucleotide ribosomal RNA is filed under the name uncultured bacterium. RNAcentral describes it as "partial 16S ribosomal RNA". It matches the Rfam family "Bacterial small subunit ribosomal RNA", at positions 78 to 334 of the family's 1533-position model. The record is from RNAcentral.